CUACAGGGGUAUCUAAUCCUGUUUGCUCCCCACGCUUUCGCACCUCAGCGUCAGUAUCGAGCCAGUGAGCCGCCUUCGCCACUGGUGUUCCUCCGAAUAUCUACGAAUUUCACCUCUACACUCGGAAUUCCACUCACCUCUCUCGAACUCCAGACCGAUAGUUUUGAAGGCAGUUCCGAGGUUGAGCCCCGGGAUUUCACCCCCAACUUUCCGGUCCGCCUACGUGCGCUUUACGCCCAGUAAUUCCGAACAACGCUAGCCCCCUCCGUAUUACCGCGGCUGCUGGCAC
This 289-nucleotide ribosomal RNA is filed under the name uncultured Paracoccus sp. RNAcentral describes it as "partial 16S ribosomal RNA". Lineage: Bacteria; Pseudomonadati; Pseudomonadota; Alphaproteobacteria; Rhodobacterales; Paracoccaceae. The record is from RNAcentral.